This 492-nucleotide ribosomal RNA is filed under the name uncultured bacterium. Its description in RNAcentral is "partial 16S ribosomal RNA". It matches the Rfam family "Bacterial small subunit ribosomal RNA", at positions 29 to 507 of the family's 1533-position model. The record is from RNAcentral.
AGUGAACGCUGGCGGUAGGCCUAACACAUGCAAGUCGAACGGCAGCACAGUAAGAGCUUGCUCUUACGGGUGGCGAGUGGCGGACGGGUGAGGAAUACAUCGGAAUCUACUUUUUCGUGGGGGAUAACGUAGGGAAACUUACGCUAAUACCGCAUACGACCUACGGGUGAAAGCAGGGGAUCUUCGGACCUUGCGCGAUUGAAUGAGCCGAUGUCGGAUUAGCUAGUUGGCGGGGUAAAGGCCCACCAAGGCGACGAUCCGUAGCUGGUCUGAGAGGAUGGUCAGCCACACUGGAACUUGGAAACGGUCCAGACUCCUAAGGGAGGCAGCAGUGGGGAAUAUUGGACAAUGGGGGGAAGCCUGAUCCAGCCAUACCGCGUGGGUGGAGAAGGCCUUCGGGUUGUAAAGACCUUUUGUUGGGAAAGAAAAGCAGCAGGUUAAUACCCCGCUGUUCUGACGGUAACCAAAGAAUAAGCACCGGCUAAAUUCGUG